Molecule: signal recognition particle RNA, 247 nt
Filed under: bovine gut metagenome
Description: Bacterial large signal recognition particle RNA
Rfam family: Bacterial large signal recognition particle RNA
About the family: The signal recognition particle (SRP) is a universally conserved ribonucleoprotein involved in the co-translational targeting of proteins to membranes.
Source: RNAcentral
UACCAGCCGGGGAAGUAGCGGAGCCUUGAACCUGAAAUCCGCUGUAGCAGGGGUGGAUCCCCCUUUUGAGGAUCGAACCUUUACGAAUGAGUCACUUUUUUCGUGUUGAGAGAUGGGUCUUGCGCAAUUCGGAGCCGUGAACCAUGUCAGGUGGGGAACCAAGCAGCAUUAAGCGGUCAACCGGAUGUGCCGCGAGGAAGCCUGUUUUGAGCGGAGAAUUUGAAGAUCGCGUGGGGGCGACAUUCGA